CAGUAGCCGCGGUAAUACGUAGGGUGCGAGCGUUAAUCGGAAUUACUGGGCGUAAAGCGUGCGCAGGCGGUUCGUUAAGACAGAUGUGAAAUCCCCGGGCUUAACCUGGGAACUGCAUUUGUGACUGGCAAGCUAGAGUAUGGCAGAGGGGGGUGGAAUUCCGCGUGUAGCAGUGAAAUGCGUAGAGAUGUGGAGGAAUACCGAUGGCGAAGGCAGCCCCCUGGGCCAAUACUGACGCUCAUGCACGAAAGCGUGGGGAGCAAACAGGAUUAGAGACCCCCGUAGUCCCUGUCUCUUAUAC
This 301-nucleotide ribosomal RNA is filed under the name uncultured bacterium. RNAcentral describes it as "partial 16S ribosomal RNA". It matches the Rfam family "Bacterial small subunit ribosomal RNA", at positions 509 to 807 of the family's 1533-position model. The record is from RNAcentral.